GACGAACGCUGGCGGCGUGCUUAACACAUGCAAGUCGAACGGAAAGGCCCCUUUGGGGUACUCGAGUGGCGAACGGGUGAGUAACACGUGAGUAACCUGCCCUUGACUUCGGGAUAACUUCAGGAAACUGGGGCUAAUACCGGAUAGGAAUCCUUGCUGCAUGGUGGGGGUUGGAAAGCUUCGGCGGUUUUGGAUGGACUCGCGGCUUAUCAGCUUGUUGGUGGGGUAGUGGCUUACCAAGGCUUUGACGGGUAGCCGGCCUGGGAGGGCGACCGGCCACAUUGGGACUGGGAUACGGCCCAGACUCCUACGGGAGGCAGCGGUGGGGAAUAUUGCACAAUGGGCGGAAGCCUGAUGCAGCAACGCCGCGUGCGGGAUGACGGCCCUCGGGUUGUAAACCGCUUUCAGCAGGGGCGAAGCUUGUGGUGACGGUACCUGCAGAAGAAGCACCGGCUAACUACGUG
This 464-nucleotide ribosomal RNA is filed under the name uncultured bacterium. RNAcentral describes it as "partial 16S ribosomal RNA". It matches the Rfam family "Bacterial small subunit ribosomal RNA", at positions 28 to 507 of the family's 1533-position model. The record is from RNAcentral.